This 372-nucleotide ribosomal RNA is filed under the name uncultured organism. RNAcentral's name for it is "bacterial SSU rRNA". It matches the Rfam family "Bacterial small subunit ribosomal RNA", at positions 526 to 896 of the family's 1533-position model. The record is from RNAcentral.
CGUAGGGUGCGAGCGUUAAUCGGAAUUACUGGGCGUAAAGUGUGCGCAGGCGGCGUUGCAAGUCGAGUGUGAGAUCCCCGAGCUUAACUUGGGAAUUGCGCUCGAAACUACGAUGCUCGAGUAUGGCAGAGGAAGGUGGAAUUCCACGUGUAGCGGUGAAAUGCGUAGAGAUGUGGAGGAACACCGAUGGCGAAGGCAGCCUUCUGGGCCAAUACUGACGCUCAUGCACGAAAGCGUGGGGAGCAAACAGGAUUAGAUACCCUGGUAGUCCACGCCCUAAACGAUGAUGACUAGUUGUUGGAGGAGUUAAAUCCUUUAGUAACGCAGCUAACGCGUGAAGUCAUCCGCCUGGGGAGUACGGUCGCAAGAUUA